This 497-nucleotide ribosomal RNA is filed under the name uncultured bacterium. RNAcentral's name for it is "partial 16S ribosomal RNA". It matches the Rfam family "Bacterial small subunit ribosomal RNA", at positions 28 to 507 of the family's 1533-position model. The record is from RNAcentral.
GAUGAACGCUGGCGGCGUGCCUAAUACAUGCAAGUCGAGCGAACAGACGAGGAGCUUGCUCCCCUGACGUUAGCGGCGGACGGGUGAGUAACACGUGGAUAACCUACCUAUAAGACUGGGAUAACUUCGGGAAACCGGAGCUAAUACCGGAUAUUAUAUUGAACCGCAUGGUUCAAUAGUGUAAGACGGUUUUGUUGUCACUUAUAGAUGGAUCCGCGCCGCAUUAGCUAGUUGGUAAGGUAACGGCUUACCAAGGCAACGAUGCGUAGCCGACCUGAGAGGGUGAUCGGCCACACUGGAACUGAGACACGGUCCAGACUCCUACGGGAGGCAGCAGUAGGGAAUCUUCCGCAAUGGGCGAAAGCCUGACGGAGCAACGCCGCGUGAGUGAUGAAGGUCUUCGGAUCGUAAAACUCUGUUAUUAGGGAAGAACAAAUGUGUAAGUAACUAUGCACGUCUUGACGGUACCUAAUCAGAAAGCCACGGCUAACUACGUG